Molecule: long non-coding RNA, 5818 nt
Organism: Lates calcarifer (barramundi perch)
Lineage: Eukaryota; Metazoa; Chordata; Actinopteri; Centropomidae
Exons: 3
Source: RefSeq, a predicted model, not a curated record
ACCUUGCGACCCUCCAGUGUGUAGAGCUUCCUGAUGUGGUACUGCAUGAGCUCAGAAACUUCCUCUAAGAAAAGCCCAAAACUGCGUAGACUCCUGCGGUGCAAGAUGAUGGUCUUCCGAAGUGAGGGGUCGCUGUUCUUCACCAGCAUCACCCUCUUAUUGUACCUGUGAUGAUGAAUGUGUCGGUUGUGGCCUGAAUGUGCCUCCUCGGGCCUGGCUGGCCUCCCGAGAACAUACUGGUGUGGAUGAUAGUGAUGAGACGGUGUGUGAGUGUGAUACAAAGGUGAAACGUGCCUAUCUAAUGCUUCCAGGGCCUGGGCGUGUCUAUACUCAGAGCAAAGAUAGCAUUCCUCCAGAGGUUUGUGGUGGGCCACCAUGCCAUGUUGGGGGAUCCUGGGGAGGCGGCCAGUGUGAUGCUUGAAAGGGCAGAGAAGACUUGUGGGUCCCCUCACCUCCUACAGCAUUGAAGCACUGAAAGUUUCGCUUGUGUGAAGACAUCCUGGGUGGUAGGCUCUCUGCUCUGGAUGAAAGAUGGUCUCACAUGAGCAGAUGAAAGCAACAGUGGCAGAGGGUCUUCAUGUUUCUCCUGAGCUGCCUAGGAAAAGGUAAUGAUCUUCAUGAAGUGAUUUAAAAAUACAAUUUGGAAAAAAAAACUGCCAUUAUGAGAGCCGUCCAUCCUCCAGUAAUUCAUCUAUACCUUCUAUCUAUCCCUCCAACCAGAGAAAGAAUAGGGAAGCUCCCGGAAUAGUUAAUCUGUCCCUGUACUUUAAUUUAGAUAUCCCCAAGACAUAAUGAGGAACCAAUUUAUGUCGAAGGACUUCUGCCAACGCCAUGGUAAUGUGUACAGGCUUUACCUCAGUUCACUUUUUAACCUUUACCUCAGUGAGGUCACAGGGAGGGAGUUUAAAUAUAACCAAGAGAAGGAGCCAUUUACAUACACACAAAGCACAUUUACAAAAUCCCACAGUAGCCUGCUCCUGCUCUGGACAAAUCCUGCGGUACUUACAGAGAACCUCUGGAGAUUGCUAAUUUAAGCAUUCUGUUAUAUUCAUCCAUUUGCAAUUUUGUCUGAUUUAUUUAUUUAUUUUUAAACUGUACAAAUUGGCAAGUUUAGGGUUUAGCCAAGCAGAUGUAACAGAGUUGCGCUUAUUUCACUAUAUCACUUCCAUAGAUAUAAUUUUUAUGUCACAUUAAAUGUUAAAAUGGCAAGCAUGGUUAACGUGUGUGUAUCUGUGUAUGUAAAUGCAUAACCAUUUUUAUUUUCCAGAAAUAUAGUGUAUUUCUACAGCAGCUGACCUAAGACAUGAGGGCUGACAGUCUUAUUAGUGAGAGCCAGUGUAAUUUGUAAUUUAAAAAUAUGUAACAUGAUCUUAUUGCCUCCUGCUCUUAAAUCCACUUACCAGUGGCCUAAUGUUUCUAAUAGUGCAUUUUAAUCCUUGCAGACCUUGAAUUUUAAAAAAAGUAUGUAUCUGUCAGAAGUGGGAUUCGAACCCACGCCUCCAGGGGAGACUGCGACCUGAACGCAGCGCCUUAGACCGCUCGGCCAUCCUGACAGUUGUUCACAAAGGAACAAACUUCAGUACAUAUCAUGUAUCUGUGAUAAACAGAAACACGAUAUUUUCAACAUUUAAAAAUAGACUAAACGGACCCACCGUGCAUAUGAAUACACACAUAAAAAGUUUAUGAGUGCUUCUUUAGCUCGGCUAGCUGAUAAGACAAUUAGCGUGGAUGUAGCCACAGCACAGGAAGCUAACGUUUAGGAUGAAAUACCGGAAUUCCUGUGCAAAGGUAGGAAACCGACAGUCCCGGAGAACGAUGUGUAACACGGAAUAGCGACUCUGUGUCUUGACGUUGGGGACAGAUUAACUACCAGUCGCUUUAUGAAGAUUUCUGAAGGCGGAAGGGCUUCAGGCUGCGGUUCCUCUCAUGCCCGCUAGAUGCUGAAAAAUGCAUCAAGUCCUCAAACCAACGGAAAGUCCGUCACGCUCACACCCAGGUAGUAUUCAACUGUAAUUCUGUGUACCUAUAGCACACUGGCCACAGUUAGGAGUGACAGAAGUUAGACCAAACUAACUCCCUGUAUUAAAACAUUGUAAGCUUUUGAGUGGUUUAAAAGUAAGACAGAUUCAUUUUCGGUUAUCAUUCCCUACUGCUGUCGACUAAUUAGGAGCUAGACUUCAACAAAAGUAAACAGCCUCUUAAAAGUCACUAGAAUUUCAUACCUGUGUUGUUUGAAUAUAGUGUACUGACAUGAGAAUACAAAGUUGGGUGGAAAAGUAGACACACAGUGGUGAAGGAUAUGUCUUGAUUGCACAUGGACUGCACACAGCUGGACCUAAUUAACAGAGUAAUUGCAUCAAAAUAACUUAUGAUACUUAAACAGGUAUGUCCCACCAAAAUGUUCAUGUAGAGGAUGUAGAACAAUUUAACCUAGCCUACAUUUCUUAUGUUACUGAUUAAUAUAUAUGUUGAGAGGCACUCCUGCCUGUGGAGUUAAUAUCCCACUACUAAGCAGAAACUGUUCAGUUUAUAAAUGGCAUAAGUUAGCCUAUAAGGUCAUGAGAUAUUGUAAUUAAUGAGUUUUUAUAGAUUCUUAGUUUCAAACACCUGGGAAAACUGCCCUGUGAAAGUGCAAACUGUGUAAUAUUUUGCAGAAGCAGAACUGACCAAACUACUACAGGGUCAAGACUUACGUCUUUAAGGAAACGGGGCCGUGCAUCCAGCAGGAAGGGAUUCCUUCAAGCUCAGACAUCAACAACAUCCCGAAUAUUACACCCAUAACGUAAGGUUGGAGGAAUGGAAGUGUGCAUGGAAAUUAUGCCAGAGUAACCCGUUGCCAAGGUCAGUUAAGAGCAUUCUUACCCAGAAAUUUGGAGUGUAAACAGAGCACAUCAAGGCAGCGGAAAUGCUGUGUGUCAUGGCUGACGUACUUUAUCUCUGAAUAAGCAGCAGUAAAUGAGGUUUGUUGUUCCCGUAUGUAGGAACUUGCAUCACUGAUAAGUCAUUACAGAUCUUAGAGUUCUCAGGCCAUGGGUGAUGGAGACUUCAAUUUUAAUUCUAGUCAGAUAUGUGGGAAUAAUACGAGUAAUAAGAUCAGAAUUUUUCAGAGCCAAGUUAUCAUCUUAGAUUUUCUUUUGUCUGUCCAUCAGUCAAAGAUAUACAGUUUACAAUAGUUUAAGAUGAGAAAAAAGCUAUCACACCUGCUGAUUUGAACUGAGCUUUGUCAUUUAUGUUUGUUAUAUAUAUUUGUUUAUGGGGAGUAUUGCUGAGGUGCAUUGUCGACUGCUAUUUUUUUUGAAUGAGCAGUUGUUGAUGAUGCAGCAAAGUGAUAUAAUUAUUUUUUUGAAAUCUGAUGACAUCAAAGAUUCGCAGGCAUAGUAAGAAGUCUCACUUCUCCCUUAUAAUUGACUCUUCACUCACCAAGAGCACAACUAGAUAAAACACUCUAGAGUUUUCAGUUUCAACACCCAUACACAACUAUUUGUUUCAUCGUGUAAAGACGGACGGACAAGGAGACAGAUUUAAUGCACCGCAUACCAUCAUCAUACCUUUUUACAGGCACCAAGUACACAGAGUCAUCUUUCCAGAUGACCUAUCUUGAAACUAAGGCAUAGCUGCCAAUGAGGAGCCAGGUUCCUCUAACCGUUAUGUUACCAAUGACAAUAUCAACAAUGAUCAUGUCGAGAAUGUCAGUCCCGAUGCUGAGGACGACGGGGAAAUCAACCUGCAUUCUGAACAAGAUGACCCACUACCUGGUGGAUCCAGGCAACGAUCUUGAGAAGUAGAUGAUGACGAUGAGGAAAGUAGCAGCAAGAGAUUCAGGUGGUGGGAUGACUUUGCAGACAGUGACUGGGAUGACUCCACUGACAGUGAUGUCAGCAAGUGAGAGCAACGAUACAGAACCAGACGAAGAAGAGGUGGACCAAUGCCCUGCAGUAACCAGGAAGAGGGAAAGAGAUGAGGAAGAAGAAAAUGAGAGUGAAAGAUGUGCCAAAAAAAUCCAGAAAAUAAUACCACAGACACUGUCAUCCCUGUGACUUUAACACGUCCUCUAUGUACAUGACAUCCCUUGCACCAUACAUUACAUGAUCAGCUUCACCCCAACCUCCUCUAUAUCUGCUUCAUACCAGGUUCUAUGUCUAGAGCGUGAAAAGACUGAAACACAAACCAGCAGCACCACCAUCAUUUCACCACCAGGCCACUCUUGGCACCCACCAGAUGACUGUCCCGGAGGGGGAUCCCUCUUUGAGUAAGCCUGCCCAAGGUUUCUUCCUUAUAAGGGAGUUUUUCCUUGUUCUCAUUGAAGGUCUAAGGUUUGGGUGGGUGUAAUUUCUAAUAAUUAGUGUCUUCAGAUUUAUAGCCAUUUCUAAUGCAGAUGUGAGAUGUUUUACAUAGAUUAAAAAAAAAAGAAAAAAAGUAGCCAAAUAGUGAUUAAAGUAACAAAUGGGAAAUUUGGAAAAAACAAAAAUACUACAAAAACAUAAAGGGAAAUCAUUUUAGAUCUUUAAGCAUUAUUGUUAAUUAAUUGUAACAAUCAAUGCUACUGAUUAGGUCAGCCAACAUUCUGCAAAUUCAAUUCUAUUUCCCUGUAGGAUAAUAAAGUUAUUCAACUAAGUUCAACUCUGAUGGGGACCAAUCAUAUCUGCUACAAGUGUUAUAUUGUAGCCAUACAAAUGAAUAUGAAUGAUACUUGCUGAAAUAUUUAAAACUUAAUGGGUCUAAGUAUGUCUCAGAUGCUGUCAUCAGGCAGGUGGUUUGCUUUGUCUAACCUCCACAGUAGCUGUUAAAAGGGGCUCUCUCACACCACUGAACUUAUAACAUCACUCAUCUAAAUCAUUAGUGCGUCUGCUUUUCAGGAUGCAGGCUGAGUAAAGUCUGUUGGUGCAGGACAGUGGGGGGCCGUGCCAUGAUGGCAGCAUGUAGGCCCGUUAAAAUGGAAAAGAUGGGGAGUGACUUAGGAUCAAAGACAUAACCCCCACCCUUCUUGUCUGAGUUAAUGUUAUUUUUUAGAUAAUUGUGAAUGUAAAACAGCAAAAUUUCAGGAGACAAAAUCAGUAUAAAACUUUCCAAACUUUGGAGGAAUUAGCCAUAUCUUUUACAAAAUAAGCGGCAGAUCGCAGCUUUAGUAACCCAAUCAUAAUUAAAUAUAGAGGUCAGAAUUAGUAGUGGGAUUUUUAAAAAAAAUUAUGUAAUUAAUUAGGGGCUUUGAAAUUAAUUAAUCACAUUUUAAUCGCAUAUCAAUAUUUGACACAAGAAUUUUUCAAUUCAAACAGAUUUUGAUAGAUGACUGAAUCAUUAGGAACUGAAAGGAACUUUCUCAGGUGCACUGAGAAACAUUACAGUGUUGUCUGGAGUGUAAAAAUAAAGUACGAAUGAAUGCGUUAUUUUUUUAAACACAUUAUUUUUUCUGUAAUUAAUUAAUCUAAAUUAACACAUUAAAGUCCCAGCCCUAGUCAGAAUAUUAAAACAUUGCAAUAAAUAUCAUAAUAAGCUCAAUUGAAACAUGAAUCAGAAACACAUAAUACCUCUUUCAGUUAUUCCCACAAUACAAGAUCGCACACAGAACAGAUAAGAAUGUUCUAUCUCUUAAAUGGAACAACCACAUUGCAAUUAGGAAGCACAAUAGGAACAUCCUCCUCCACAUUGAGGUGAAGAGUUACACCACCCCUGGGAGAAUCUGCAGCAGUCAAAAACAAGCCAAAUAGCGCUGCAGUGUACAUAGUGGAGACCAGUGCAAGCCAUGCUAUCAAAGAGAGAGAGAGAGAGAGAAAGAGAAAGAGAGAGAGCAAUGGAGGUCAGACUGGAAAAAUAGGACAUG